This 86-nucleotide microRNA precursor is filed under the name Mus caroli (Ryukyu mouse). Its description in RNAcentral is "miRNA (MGP_CAROLIEiJ_G0007964.1)". Lineage: Eukaryota; Metazoa; Chordata; Mammalia; Rodentia; Muridae. The record is from RNAcentral.
UUAAGAUAAACUGUGAGCCUAGGGAUGUAACUCAGUGGUAGAUUGCCUACUUAGUGUGUGCAAGUCCACUACUAUGGAAGGGAAGG